Molecule: long non-coding RNA, 1310 nt
Organism: Dendrobium catenatum
Lineage: Eukaryota; Viridiplantae; Streptophyta; Magnoliopsida; Asparagales; Orchidaceae
Exons: 4
Source: RefSeq, a predicted model, not a curated record
GGAGAUGUCAGGACGUUACCAUUCCUUGAAGUUCUCCGCCUUCUUUUCCUUUCUCGCCUUUCUUCCUCCACGUCGACGAGCUCCUCUUCCUCGCUCUGCAAAUUCCAUUGCAUCUUUGUCUAAGUGAGAGAUUGAGAGAAAACAAGCGAAUAAGUGCUCAUGUUCAGCGGCGGAUGGACGGUGAUGGUGGCGCGGGCAUCGGCCCAUUGGUCGCAAUACCUAGCCUGCAAUCCGGACAGACUUACCAACGACGAGCUCCUCCACUUACUACUCUACCUUCCGCUUCAUCAUCUCCGCCGCUUUGCCCUCUGCCUCUUCUCGUUCUUCUGUCUACCCGACCCAAACCCCCGACGGCACCAGAUCCGAGUUUACUACUAUAUGUCGUCAUCCUCUUCUUCGUCCUCUGAUUACUCUGAUGAAGAUGAAGACUCUCAUUCGGAUUGAGACGAGUGGGACGGCAUAGGGGGACUUCUUGUUAUUGUACUGCAUUGAUUCUUCCUUUUUAGUAGUAAUGAUCCUGUUUGUCUGAUUGUCUGGUGCUGUGGCCUUCAAGUGGCUCAGCUUUGUAUAGUCUUCUGCUUUAGAUGAUUUGUUGAUCUGUUAAAGCAUUCAUCACUGCCUGAAUGAAUUCAGCUUGUAAUUGAUUCAUAAUGUAACAAGCAAUACUUCACCGACAAGGAUGACCUAACUCUCUUCUCUUUAUCUUUUUUUUUUUUUUUUGCUUUGUUAUUGAUUAUUUGUUUGAUAUUCUUGAGUUGAUAGACUUUUUAAUCUCUCUACUAUUAUUCAUAAAUGGAAAACUAAUAGCUGGAGGUAUUUUUUAAGAUACUUCCCGACAAGCAACGAGUUCCAUUCCCACCGUGUGAUUUCAAUCCAACGGUUUACGCUCUGCAUUCUCAAGAACGCCUGCAUCGUUAGCAAACCAGCUUCCGUUCUCCACUUCACUAACGCCUCAGCUCUCUCUAUUUUACCCGAUUGAUUUCCCUCUCAAUGCUAGCAAGCAGAUCUGAUGGGCAUUCAAGUCAAAACCCAGCAAGACGAUGAUAUCGUUGAUGCCUUCUGGCUUUUUCGAAUACUACGCCGUCUUGCUUAGUUAGGAGGCAUACAUUGAAACGAUCGAGAUCUUUUGAGGGGACUCUAAUCGAUCUGAUCUUGUUCAUUGUUCGAGCUUCAGCACACAGACAUCCAUUUACAGUGUAUACAGACAGUGGUAAACACCAUCAAAGCAUAUCGCCAAAGCAACCACCAAAGGAGAUCGUCGCCGGCUGCAUCACCGGCGGCGGCAUCCCACUCGCCGUCGCCACCAACAC